RNAcentral lists this long non-coding RNA (329 nucleotides) under Panax ginseng (ginseng). Its description in RNAcentral is "long non-coding RNA (PGIN_LNC014482)". The record is from RNAcentral. Lineage: Eukaryota; Viridiplantae; Streptophyta; Magnoliopsida; Apiales; Araliaceae.
AAAAGGUGAGUGCUCUAUUGCUACACUAAAAAGGAAUCAAGUGCUCUGUUUUUGCAGUAACAUACGAAACAGAGAGAAGAGAAAGAGAAAAUCGGUGAGUGCACUGCAGUAGAUUGAGAGAGUUUUGGUCAUCAUCUUUUCGGAUUAAAUUAAUUGCUUGAAGACUUUAAUUAAUUUGAAGGUUUUGGGUGGUGAGAUAAUUUGAGUUUUCACUCAAAUUGAGGUAUUCUUGUCUUUUCUCAAUUUCUUAAUAUUUCAAGUUUUUAGUUAUAAAACUUGGAAGGACUUUGAAUUCACAGUUGAUUAUAGUGGAAUUUUUUGGAGUUUGG